GACGAACGCUGGCGGCGUGCCUAAUACAUGCAAGUAGAACGCUGAAGGAGGAGCUUGCUUCUCUGGAUGAGUUGCGAACGGGUGAGUAACGCGUAGGUAACCUGCCUGGUAGCGGGGGAUAACUAUUGGAAACGAUAGCUAAUACCGCAUAAUAGUAGAUGUUGCAUGACAUUUGCUUAAAAGGUGCAAUUGCAUCACUACCAGAUGGACCUGCGUUGUAUUAGCUAGUUGGUGGGGUAACGGCUCACCAAAGCGACGAUACAUAGCCGACCUGAGAGGGUGAUCGGCCACACUGGGACUGAGACACGGCCCAGACUCCUACGGGAGGCAGCAGUAGGGAAUCUUCGGCAAUGGACGGAAGUCUGACCGAGCAACGCCGCGUGAGUGAAGAAGGUUUUCGGAUCGUAAAGCUCUGUUGUAAGAGAAGAACGAGUGUGAGAGUGGAAAGUUCACACUGUGACGGUAUCUUACCAGAAAGGGACGGCUAACUACGUG
RNAcentral lists this ribosomal RNA (495 nucleotides) under uncultured bacterium. Its description in RNAcentral is "partial 16S ribosomal RNA". It matches the Rfam family "Bacterial small subunit ribosomal RNA", at positions 28 to 507 of the family's 1533-position model. The record is from RNAcentral.